RNAcentral lists this ribosomal RNA (876 nucleotides) under uncultured archaeon. RNAcentral's name for it is "bacterial SSU rRNA". It matches the Rfam family "Archaeal small subunit ribosomal RNA", at positions 21 to 903 of the family's 1478-position model. The record is from RNAcentral.
GGUCACUGCUAUUGGGAUCCGACUAAGCCAUGCGAGUCGAGAGGGUUCGGCCCUCGGCAUACCGCUCAGUAACACGUGGAUAAUCUACCCUUAGGUGGAGGAUAACCUCGGGAAACUGAGAAUAAUACUCCAUAGAUCUAGGAUGCUGGAAUGUACUUAGGUUGAAAGUUCCGGCGCCUAAGGAUGAGUCUGCGGACUAUCAGGUAGUAGUCAGGGUAAAGACCUGACUAGCCUACGACGGAUACGGGUUGUGAGAGCAAUAGCCCGGAGAUGAUAUCUGAGACACGAUAUCAGGUCCUACGGGAUGCAGCAGGCGCGAAACCUUCACAAUGUGCGAAAGCACGAUGAGGGGAUCCCAAGUGCUGGCUCGUAAGAGCCAGCUGUUUCUCUGUCUAAAAAAUAGAGAGAGUAAGAGCUGGGUAAGACGGGUGCCAGCCGCCGCGGUAAUACCUGCAGCUCAAGUGGUGGCCGCUAUUAUUGGGCCUAAAACGUCCGUAGCCGGUUUAGUAAAUGCCUGGGUAAAUUGUGUAGCUUAACUAUACGAAUACCGGGUAGACUGCUAAACUUGGGACCGGGAGAGGCUAGAGGUACUCCUGGGGUAGAGGUGAAAUUCUGUAAUCCUAGGGGGACCACCAGUGGCGAAGGCGUCUAGCUAGAACGGGUCUGACGGUGAGGGACGAAGCCCUGGGGCGCAAACCGGAUUAGAUACCCGGGUAGUCCAGGGUGUAAACGCUGCUCGCUUGAUGUUAGUCGAGCUCCGAGCUCAACUAGUGUCGGAGAGAAGUUGUUAAGCGAGCUGCCUGGGAAGUACGGUCGCAAGGCUGAAACUUAAAGGAAUUGGCGGGGGAGCACAGCAACGGGUGGAGCGUGCGGUUU